CAUAGCAGGGGGGUUGAAACUCGAUGAUCUUUGAGGUCCUUUUCAACCCAGGCCAUUCUAUGAUUCUAUGAUUCUAUGACUCUAUGCCUGAGGGUGGCUUUGCUGCCCCAGGGAAAACAGCCACAAGAUGGAGGCCACUGGGCCCCAGAGAGCCACCCUGCACAGGAUGGAGCCUGGGAUGCUGUGGGGAAACCACGGGUGGAGGAGGGGCUGAGGCUGCCCCUAUGAAAUUAGUGGAGCUGGGCUUUGGCCCAGUGCUGGAGUCUGACUCAUCCAAUUUGCAAACGAACUGCUGAGAACACAUCUUUAAAUCUAAAAGCCUGUUUUUUAAGAGUGUCCUUUCAACACAUCUUGGAUUUUACUGCACCCUAAGCAUUGUCAGCAAAAGGGUUUUUUCUUUCUGCAUCCCAGGUGUGAAGGGAAGGGUAGGGGAGCUGAAGAGCUCCACGGAGACACUGUGGGUGUAUGAAAGCAACCAGCAGGAGAUGAACCUUAGAGGUGAACCUCCCCUUCCCAGCAGAAACCAUGUUCUCUUUCCAGUUUUAUGAGCUUGUUUCUCUCCUUCAGUGUGGGCAAAGCUGAAGUCUAUGGAGACUGGCUGAUUGUAGAAAGCCUAACAUCCCUGGUGUCAGGCAGGCUAUGGGAUUUCAGCUAGCAAGGCUCUAUGUCCCAGACUUUGGUAGUGCCCGAUGUGCUGUAGGGCUGCUGGGUCUGGACCUCAGGUCUCUCAGCUGGGUGACCAUAUCACCCUCAAGCCCUGCAUCCAUACUUCAGCUCUGUGUGGAUACCUGCUGGAAGAAAAGAUUUGGCAAUACGUUUAUUUAUUUAACAGACUUCCUAGAGAGGUGCUCGAUGCUCCAUGCCUGUCAGUGUUCAAAAGGCUAACGCCCUCUCAAUAACAUGCUUUAACCUUUGAUUAGCCCUGAAAUGAUCAGGUAGUUGGACUCGGUGGUCUUUGAAGGUACCUUCCAGCUGAACUAUUCUACUCUACUCUACUCUACUCUACUCUACUCUACUCUACCCUACCUUACCCUACCCUACUCUACCCUACCCUACCCUGCACUACCUUUUGAGUAUGCCCGGUUUCAGACCUUUGGUUACCAACCAGCUGCCUCCCUAGCCAUGAUUCCCGGGGACAACAUGUGCUGCUGUCUCCCCCAGGAGCACCCAUGGCACCGAUUCACCUGCUGCAGUUACGAGCAAGCCCUGCCUUAGCUGCACCUCAUCCUAACACCACUAAAACUCAUGUUGACAACUUGUACAGUGGGACGAGCCGCAGCCUUGAACAAAGCUGGGUGCCACCAGACGGCAUUGGGUAGGCUGGCAGGUGGUACCAGGCUUGGUUUCCCAAGGCAGAAGCUGUUACGCUUCCUGGACAGCAUCUGAUUUGUUUCUCCAGUUGCACGGAGGAAAAAAUAGCCGAGGUUAAUAUUUUACCAGCAGGCAAUAAAGCUGACCUGGUAUUCAGACAUCUACAUGAGCUGACAGGGCUGUCACCUGGCAGCAGGGCUAUGCUGGCUGUCCCUGUGUGCCCCCAACCCGCUGCAGGCUGCAGCCAGGGCAGUGUCCCACACACGAGCUGGUUAGAGGCAUGCACUGGAAUAAUGUCAGUGGCUCCAGUCCUGGAAUAACUUGCUGAGAGGCUGUAACGUGAUCAUGCCUGAUCUCUUCGUGGUAUGCAUGAACUGUUUUGGUGCUAGAAAGCCUCUGUCUGCUAAACAGACUCAUGGAUUUUGGGGGUUGGUAACAGAUGCCAAAGCUGGCCCUGAUAGAACAGGGCGGAGGGCCACCACUAAGUGGUGAGGCAGGGCAGGAGCUCCCAGGGCUUUAUCUGGGAAGGGCGGUGUGAAUGGGACUGCAGGCAACAUCAGCUGCGAACAGACCCUCCUUUCAUCUAUCUCAGCUUUGAAGUGCAAAAUGAUGUGCUUCUACCUGGGAGGAAGCCUUGGCAUUUUUCUAGUUGAAAGAACCUGUACAACUUUUGGUGUUUCGCAUUUGAAGAGACUAAUGGCAGGGAAGAUUUUAGAAGCAUUUCCUUUCUAAAAGUCGACCCAUACAGCGUGUAGCUAAUGUACAAUAUACCUUUCAGCACGUAGCUAACUACAUCAAGCUGUGCUGCUCUGGAACACAGGGCUGAGGUUUUGGAGCACAGGGAUUUGCGUUGCACUUACUCUUGUGCUGCUGGGAGGUUACAAAAGGGAAGGAGGAGAGGGAGGACCACUUCCCUGACUUCCCCAAAAUAUGAGUCAGAGAUCCAAAGCUUAGACUGUAAACUGUGAUUGCAUCUUCUCUGAAAGGCAGAUCUGGAAACACAGAACAGCUUGGCUGGGAAUAGAGAUGGGCAAAUCAGCAGUGCUGGCAAGGAACGUUUUUUCUUUUCCAGCUCAUGGAGGGACAGAGACUCCAGCAAAAUGGAUGAACCUCGCCAUGGAAACAUACAGGCGUUCCAAAUGCCCUUGAGGUGCCUUGCCUGGCCUUCAGCCACCUCUUCAAAAAGUGUGAGGUCUCCAUAGGCCACAGAAUCACAGAAUAAUAAAAUAAUUCAGCUUGGAUGGGACAUCCAUAGAUCCCUGUCCAACCCUCUAAGCAGGGCCAUCUAGCACACAGCUCAGGGCCUCGCACAGUGUUGAGUAUCUCCAAGGAUGGAGACUCCACAUUGUCUCUGGGGAACUUGCUCCAGCACUUAACCAUUUGCUUGGUAAAAACCAUUUUUUUUCCCAUGCACACAGCCAGAGUUUCUCUUGUUCCAGCUUGUGACCGUUGCCUUCUGUCCUGUUGCUGAGCUCCUCUGAGUCAUGGAUGUUGCAAAUACAGCAGGGCAUUGAUGACAGCCUAUAUUUGGGCAAUCCAAUUCUACUCGGGGUUUAUUUUACUCAAUGAACAUGCAACUUGUCUGCACAGGGGGGAGAAAAUAGCAUCUGCCCCAGCUUCUGACCCGUGAAAACAACUGGACAAAAUGAUGACAUUUGCUUAUUUACUUUUCCCACAGGUAAAUGAGCUCACAGCUUUCAGUAGGCUACUGAAUACCUGGUAUUCUUUGCUCAGGAUUAUUCCAAACACUCAUUCGUAUGUCCACCAGUUGUUGUUUGUAGUUUAUAUGGAGCUAGACUAGGACCAAACAGCAAGAGGCUAAAUUCCCAUCAAACAUGAGGAAAAGUUCUUCACCCUCAGGGUGGUGAAGCACUGAGCAGGCUGCUCACAGAGGCUGGGGCUCUCCAUCCCGUCUGAACUUGCCUGGCCCAGGGCAACCUGCUCUGACUUGGCAGCGGGCCCUGCGGGCAGGUAACUGCGAUGAGGCCCAUCCCAUCCAAAUGUUUGGGUUUACCAGGGUGUUGUGUCAGCUGGAGGAACAUAAAGCUGUUGGUCCUGCUGGCAAAGACCAUCCCAGUGAGAGAAGGAGGAAGAAGAAGAGGCUGGAAUGGUCAGAAUGCCCACCUGCGGCCCGGAGGUCAAGCCCCGUGCAGGGCCUUCAGCCUGCCCAAGGGGCUCAGAUUCUUUGGGGUACAGGCCACCAGGCCGCCCUGCCACCUCCAUGGUUUGGGUGUAGCCCUCCAGUUUUGGUGAGGGUCAGAGACCGGAGCUUGUAGAGAGGCAGCCAGGUUGUGUCAGAAAGCCUCUGGGUCAUGCACAAGCCCUGGCCAGCCUUAUUUACCACACAGAUGGAUCCUCUGAGGUUACAUCUGUUUGCAAGGAAGGCUGAAGUCCACUUCUCUGGGUGACAUUGCUGGCUGGGUCCCACACAAGUGACCAGCAUCACACCAGGCCAGUGGGAUCAUGGGCUGUAAAUGCUUGUCUGCCCAUCAUACUGUCAUUGAUUAACAGAUGGAAACAAAGCAGCUUGGCAGAGCAAAUCACCCCUUGAGUAGUUGGCCCUGGAUGAUCUGCUGCUGAGCACACUGAACGUGGUGAACCUGGGGUCGUUGCCCCUGCUUGUAUGGAGAUGCCUGAGCUGUUCAUUACCAUCACACCAAGCAUGACUGUAAAUGACCUUCUGUACCCUUGAUUGUAACUUCUGAGUACAGUAAACACCGCCUGGACAUCGCCUCUGCAAAAAUCUCCCCUUUCUUCCCCUGGGGCUCUUGUCAGCUCCAGGAUGACAGGAAGCAUCUGCAUCAGCUCCCAGCAACACUUCAGUGGUGCUUGCAGACAAAUUCGUAUUUCCCAAAGAUGGGAAGAAGAUUCCCAGAAGAAGGAGGUCAACUGCCUCAGACAGAAGGGCCAUGGAAGAGCCCCUUGGACACUCCCCUUGGCGGACAAUAUGCUGAUGCACGUUAGUGACUUGAUAGCGAGCUCUUGCUUUGUGGGGGCUGCUGAAGGAUGUCCUUGGUGCUUCUGUGCAGUU
Long non-coding RNA from Gallus gallus (chicken), 4342 nucleotides. RefSeq lists it as uncharacterized. Lineage: Eukaryota; Metazoa; Chordata; Aves; Galliformes; Phasianidae. The record is from RefSeq and is a predicted model, not a curated record. The transcript has 3 exons.